GGACUAUCCCAGCAGGGGAAAGCCCUUGGACUGAGCUGGGCCAUACCACAGGAGGAGGCCGUUUCUGCCUGAGAGUGAAGAAAGACCUUACUACAUCCUGCUGUCUGGAGGUGCCUGUGCACUAAAUACACAUGUAAGGGUUUAUGAGCAACUCUGUCUCUGAACCUUCCUGCUAAAGGCCUUUAAAGUCAAUGGAAAUAUUCCCACUGAAGAAAAAUGGAAGUUGGAUUCACCCAAAAGCUCACCUGACAAACUGGUUUUGCAAAACUACUUUCCUGAGGCUGGAUGCUCCUAUGUAAAGAAGAUUCAGAAAUGGAGAUUGCUCAUGUUAAUAGAAUUUACAAAGGACUGGAAGUAAUCACACUUGCUUUGUGACCUUGGGCAUUCAACCUGUCUGUGCCUCCAAAAUCCCAUCUGUAAAAUGGGGACAAUGAUUAAACUUCAGAGCUACAAAAGAAAAGGAUGACCCCUCUGUGCCUCACUGAUUUCACUGGAUGGGGAUGGAUCUGGGUUGUGUAGUGAAGGAGGCUAUUAUCUGAAGUACACCUGCUUCAUUUAUUAUAGAAGGUGAAAGAUGUAUAUUGAAUGAGGAAUGGGAUUCCACUAUGAGGAAGUAUGGUCACAUGUUUAAGGCAGUUGAAUGCUAACCUGGAGAACUG
This is a long non-coding RNA of Trachemys scripta elegans, 659 nucleotides long. RefSeq lists it as uncharacterized. The transcript has 4 exons. The record is from RefSeq and is a predicted model, not a curated record. NCBI's taxonomy places the organism in Eukaryota, Metazoa, Chordata, Testudines, Emydidae.